GACGAACGCUGGCGGCGUGCCUAACACAUGCAAGUCGAACGGAAAGGCCCUGCUUUUGCGGGGUGCUCGAGUGGCGAACGGGUGUGUAACACGUGAGUAUCCUGUCCUUGACUUUGUGAUAACUUCAGGAAACUGGGGCUAAUACCGGAUAGGAGCUCUUGCUGCAUGGUGGGGGUUGGAAAGUUUCGGCGGUUGGGGCUGGAAUGGCGGCUUACCGGCUUGUUGGUGAGGUAGUGGCUGACCAAGGUUUUGACGGGUAGCCGGCCUGGGAGGGGGACCGGCGACAUUGGGACUAAGAGACGGCCCAGACUCCUACGGGAGGCAACAGGGGGAAAUAUUGCACAAUAGGCGGAAGCCUGAUGCAGCAACGCCGCGUGCGGGAUAACGGCCUUCGGGUGGAAAACCGCUUUCGCCUGUAACGAGGCGUGAGUGACGGUAAUGGGUAAAGAGGCACCGGCUAACUACGUG
Molecule: ribosomal RNA, 468 nt
Filed under: uncultured bacterium
Lineage: Bacteria
Description: partial 16S ribosomal RNA
Rfam family: Bacterial small subunit ribosomal RNA
Source: RNAcentral